Molecule: ribosomal RNA, 749 nt
Filed under: Acinetobacter calcoaceticus
Lineage: Bacteria; Pseudomonadati; Pseudomonadota; Gammaproteobacteria; Moraxellales; Moraxellaceae
Description: bacterial SSU rRNA
Rfam family: Bacterial small subunit ribosomal RNA
Source: RNAcentral
AGUCGAGCGGAGAGAGGUAGCUUGCUACUGAUCUUAGCGGCGGACGGGUGAGUAAUGCUUAGGAAUCUGCCUAUUAGUGGGGGACAACAUUUCGAAAGGAAUGCUAAUACCGCAUACGUCCUACGGGAGAAAGCAGGGGAUCUUCGGACCUUGCGCUAAUAGAUGAGCCUAAGUCGGAUUAGCUAGUUGGUGGGGUAAAGGCCUACCAAGGCGACGAUCUGUAGCGGGUCUGAGAGGAUGAUCCGCCACACUGGGACUGAGACACGGCCCAGACUCCUACGGGAGGCAGCAGUGGGGAAUAUUGGACAAUGGGCGGAAGCCUGAUCCAGCCAUGCCGCGUGUGUGAAGAAGGCCUUAUGGUUGUAAAGCACUUUAAGCGAGGAGGAGGCUACUUUAGUUAAUACCUAGAGAUAGUGGACGUUACUCGCAGAAUAAGCACCGGCUAACUCUGUGCCAGCAGCCGCGGUAAUACAGAGGGUGCAAGCGUUAAUCGGAUUUACUGGGCGUAAAGCGCGCGUAGGCGGCUAAUUAAGUCAAAUGUGAAAUCCCCGAGCUUAACUUGGGAAUUGCAUUCGAUACUGGUUAGCUAGAGUGUGGGAGAGGAUGGUAGAAUUCCAGGUGUAGCGGUGAAAUGCGUAGAGAUCUGGAGGAAUACCGAUGGCGAAGGCAGCCAUCUGGCCUAACACUGACGCUGAGGUGCGAAAGCAUGGGGAGCAAACAGGAUUAGAUACCCUGGUAGUCCAUGCCGU